Molecule: ribosomal RNA, 497 nt
Filed under: uncultured bacterium
Lineage: Bacteria
Description: partial 16S ribosomal RNA
Rfam family: Bacterial small subunit ribosomal RNA
Source: RNAcentral
GAUGAACGCUGGCGGCGUGCCUAAUACAUGCAAGUCGAGCGAACGGACGAGAAUCUUGCUUCUCUGAUGUUAGCGGCGGACGGGUGAGAAACACGUGGAUAACCUACCUAUAAGACUGGGAUAACUUCGGGAAACCGGAGCUAAUACCGGAGGAUAUUUUGAACCGCAUGGUUCAAAAGUGAAAGACGGUCUUGCUGUCACUGAUAGAUGGAUCCGCGCUGCAUUAGCUAGUUGGUAAGGUAACGGCUUACCAAGGGAACGAUGCAUAGCCGACCUGCGCGGGUGGUCGGCCACCCGGGAGGUGAGACACGCACCAGGGUCCUACGGGAGGGAGCAGUAGGGAAUCGUCCGCAGUGGGCGAAAGCAUGACGGAGCAACGGCGCGUGAGUGAUAGAGGUGCUCGGAUCGUAAAACUCUGUUAUUAGGGAAGAACAGAUGUGUAAGUAACUGUGCACAGCUUGACGGUACCUAAUCAGAAAGCCACGGCUAACUACGUG